RNAcentral lists this unclassified non-coding RNA (380 nucleotides) under soil metagenome. Its description in RNAcentral is "partial contains 5.8S ribosomal RNA, internal transcribed spacer 2, and large subunit ribosomal RNA". The stretch from base 1 to 120 matches the Rfam family "5.8S ribosomal RNA", at positions 35 to 154 of the family's 154-position model. The record is from RNAcentral.
GAUGAAGAACGUAGCGAAAUGCGAUAAGUAAUGUGAAUUGAAGAAUUCAGUGAAUCAUCGAAUCUUUGAACGCACCUUGCACCCUUUGGCAUUCUGAAGGGUAUGCUCGUUUGAGUGUCAUUGUACUCUCACACUCCCGAUCUUUGCAUUGGGAGCAGUGGACUUGGGUUUGCUGCUUCACCGUCGCUUACCUCAAAUAGGUUAGUGCAACUCUUGGUUGGACAUAGUACGGCGUGAUAAGUGUUCUUCGCCGGUGCCUCGCAAAGAGGGUGGCCGAUCGGGAUGUUGUGCUCCAAACCGUCUUCGGACAAUCUCUGACGACUUGACCUCAAAUCGAGUAAGACUACCCGCUGAACUUAAGCAUAUCAAUAAGCGGAGGA